This 71-nucleotide transfer RNA is filed under the name Loxodonta africana (African savanna elephant). It matches the Rfam family "tRNA". From Rfam's summary of the family: Transfer RNA (tRNA) molecules are approximately 80 nucleotides in length. Their secondary structure includes four short double-helical elements and three loops (D, anti-codon, and T loops). Lineage: Eukaryota; Metazoa; Chordata; Mammalia; Proboscidea; Elephantidae. The record is from Rfam by way of RNAcentral.
ACAUUUGUGGUUCAGUGUUAGAAUUCUUACCUUCCAUAUAGGAGAUCCAGGUUCAAUUCCUGACCAGUGCA